GAUGAACGCUGGCGGCGUGCCUAAUACAUGCAAGUCGAGCGAACAGAUGAGGAGCUUGCUCCUCUGACGUUAGCGGCGGACGGGUGAGUAACACGUGGAUAACCUACCUAUAAGACUGGGAUAACUUCGGGAAACCGGAGCUAAUACCGGAUAAUAUAUUGAACCGCAUGGUUCAAUAGUGAAAGACGGUUUUGCUGUCACUUAUAGAUGGAUCCGCGCCGCAUUAGCUAGUUGGUAAGGUAACGGCUUACCAAGGCAACGAUGCGUAGCCGACCUGAGAGGUGGGACGGCCACACGAGAACUGAGCCAGGUCCAGCACCCCAAGGGGGGGAGGAAGGGGGGACUCUUCAGCAAGGGGGGAAGCCUGGAGGGAGCACCGCGGGGGGAGUAAGAAAGUUCUUGGAAUCUAAAAAUUGUUUUAUAGGGAAAAAACAAUUGUGUAAGAAAAUAGGCACUCCUGCAGGUUCCCUAAUAAAAAACCCAGCGCUAACUCGGUC
Molecule: ribosomal RNA, 497 nt
Filed under: uncultured bacterium
Lineage: Bacteria
Description: partial 16S ribosomal RNA
Rfam family: Bacterial small subunit ribosomal RNA
Source: RNAcentral